This 551-nucleotide ribosomal RNA is filed under the name uncultured Glomeromycotina. RNAcentral's name for it is "SSU rRNA". It matches the Rfam family "Eukaryotic small subunit ribosomal RNA", at positions 548 to 1098 of the family's 1831-position model. Lineage: Eukaryota; Fungi; Glomeromycota. The record is from RNAcentral.
UUGGAGGGCAAGUCUGGUGCCAGCAGCCGCGGUAAUUCCAGCUCCAAUAGCGUAUAUUAAAGUUGUUGCAGUUAAAAAGCUCGUAGUUGAACUUCGGGGUUUACCCAUUGGUCAGGCUUAAUUGUCUGUACUGGUGAGAUGAAUCUCUACCUUCUGAGGAACUUUCAUGCCAUUUAGUUGGUGUGAUAGGAAAUCAGGACUGUUACUUUGAAAAAAUUAGAGUGUUUAAAGCAGGCUAACGUCUGAAUACAUUAGCAUGGAAUAAUGAAAUAGGACGGAUUGGUUCUAUUUCGUUGGUUUCUAGGAUCACCGUAAUGAUUAAUAGGGAUAGUUGGGGGCAUUAGUAUUCAAUUGUCAGAGGUGAAAUUCUUGGAUUUAUUGAAGACUAACUAUUGCGAAAGCAUUUGCCAAGGAUGUUUUCAUUAAUCAAGAACGAAAGUUAGGGGAUCGAAGACGAUCAGAUACCGUCGUAGUCUUAACCAUAAACUAUGCCGACUAGGGAUCGGACGAAGUUAAUUUUAUAAUGACGCGUUCGGCGCCUUACGGGAAAC